This 3938-nucleotide long non-coding RNA is filed under the name Brassica rapa (field mustard). RNAcentral's name for it is "long non-coding RNA (BRAP_LNC007947)". Lineage: Eukaryota; Viridiplantae; Streptophyta; Magnoliopsida; Brassicales; Brassicaceae. The record is from RNAcentral.
GCGAAUCCACAUGAAUAUGGGGUAGAAGCCUAGUGGGGGGCUACCCACUGAGGAAAAGAGGAAAAGAGGAAAAGAGGAAAAGAUGAAAAGUUGAAAAGGAUGUGCAUUGUAGGGUUUUAGCUCAUGGUCGGGUAACGGGGAGUUAAAGGUGUCAUAGGGUCGGGUCGGACGGACAAGAGGAGUCGGUUAAGUCUAGGGUUUGACGUGUGUGGCAAUGAGUGAGAUCAUUGUAUUGAUUGAUCGCUAGGUUGUUAGAAAUGAAUGGAAGUGAUUGUGGAAAUUGCAGAUAACAUUAGGAAUGAUGAAAAUGCAUUAACUGAUUGUAGUGGCUAGUCAGUCCUAGUUCCCGCAUGGAGUAGUAUAGAGUGUCAUGCGGGCAGGCUGGUCUAGAACCACUUCACUGAGUAACUUGUUGCUCACCCCUCCAUUUCCAUUUUUCCUGUGCGCAGGACUGUAAGUAGAAGUAUAUGGAUGUGGGUAUGACGGUAUUUCAAAGAAGGUUAUGCGCUCGUCUCUCGGGACCAGUAACGGGACACGUAGGGUUGUCUAGAUGAGUAGACACGUGUCCAUAACGCCCCUUCGAUAACCCCGGUCGGACUCCGGGGGAUCGGGCUGUUACAAUUGGUAUCAGAGCGGGUUAAGAUCCCUUAGUUCUGUCCUAAGGGAUCGGCAUUUCCGACGUUUAAAAAAAAAAAAAAAAAAAAAAAAAAAAAAAAAAUAUUUUUAUAUAUUUCGUUUUCGGAAAAAAAAAAAAAAAAAAAAAAAAAAAUUUGCAAUAUUACUAAGUAUUUUCGGAUUGUGAAAGAAUUAAUUGAAAAUCCCACUAUACCCAUACUUCUAUUAUGGUUCUGAUUGAAAUUUUAUUGCAGGAUGUUUUCGCUUGACCAUUACGAGUGGAGGAUGCCGCGUAUGCACUACGGACGGAGGAACACCAGGGAGUAUGCCCAAAGGCGUCACUAUGACAGGGAGGGUAACUUGGUGCUACCCAUGUUUCCGGAUCCUGAAGAACAGUACAGGGAGUUCCCAUUCAGGUACCCGCACGAGCAGACUGUGAGGCAUAAGGUGUUGAUGCCUCAUUUCCAGAGGAUGGCUAUGGAGACACGCCUACUGCAGGGCAAUGCGAGAUUCCAGCUUGCAACCGAAGAGGGACCCCCGAGGAAGCGUGGCCGUCCCUGCAAGACGCCAAGUGCAGCAGGGGGACCCCCAAGGGUGUUCACCGGGAAGUGCCAGUGUGGAGUACUGAGCAAGAAUGCUCAGGAGGACCGAUCAGUCGCUGGAUACACGGAGGACUUCAUCAACCAAGCCAAGCUGUGCAAACCGAAGAAUGCAGAGACGUGGUGCAUAUGGUAUAAGAACGGGCUACGCAAGGAGCUCCAGGCGCAGUUGAGGGGUGUUUUGGAGCCCUUGGAGUUCGCGUUAGUGAGGCGGAUGGCAGGCUUCGCCAUGGAGGCAGAAGAGAAGAUUGCAGCCGAUGUGGCCGCACUCUCGAGCAUGGAAGGAGGAAACCCGGGUGGGGACGUCGAUGGCCAUGAGGUGCCGGUAGGGGCAUCCGCUAAGGGAAAGCGGGGGCGUCCGCGAAAACCACCUACAGUAACAUGUGAUUGUGACGUACUGGUCCAGAUGGUUCAGAAGCCACGCAAGGUGAGAGAUUACCUGGAGGAGUUCUUGGAUACGGCCAAGAUGUGUCAACCGAAGCCAGCUGAGGAGUGGUGUCAUCUGUUUAGGGCCGGGCUACGUGGGGAUAUUCGUGAAGAACUCGUGGGAGUCCUGGAGCCUCUGGAAUUUGCACUGGUGAGAAGGAUGGCUAACCAAGCACUGCACGCGGAGGAGUGGUUGGCGGAAAAGGAGGUGGAGGCCGAGGAGGACCGCGUCGCAGAGGGCGAUGAAGACCUGGGAUCCGAGUCCCGCUGCCCCUCGCCAUGUCAAUGUGGCUAGACGAGAUCCUAGAGACGAUUCGUAGGAGUAGGACACGUGUUUCGCUAUUGGUUUUAUUUUAUUUAUUGGUUAUUGGAGUUGGUGUUCCUUCCCUUAUUUACGGCAUUCUGUAUUUGUGCAGAUGUGCUGAGUUUCUUUUACAAACUAUUGUAGUCCUACUCCUUUUAUUAUUUAUGACAUUCCUUCGUUGGUUUUAAAGAUUCCAGUAGAGAUAUCGUGUCAUGUAUGCCUCCCUUGAUUGUUGUGUGAAUGUGUGAACCCAUUUUGGUAACGAACGAUUGGUCUGAAAGAUGUGGGCUUUGGAAUUCGGGGACGAAUUCCGAUUAACGGGGGAGGAUUGUAACGGCCCGGUUCCUGGCCCAUAAAAAUUUCCCAAAGAUUAUGGGCUUCUCUACAGCCCAUUUGACAAAACCCUAGGGCUUCCCCUUCCCUUUACUAUAAAAAGAGAUGCAGUCUCCCUUUCUGCCUCAUCACAAAUCUGAAGCGAAGCCCUGCAGAGAAUUCCCGGAGGUCGAAAACCCUAGCCGUCGAGCUCUCUCUCUCUCUCUCCUGCGCCGUCUCUCUCUCUCUCCUCUCUCUCUCCCGCGUGUCGCUCUCUCUCUCUCUCCUCGCCGUCACCCUCUCUCUCUCCUUGCCGUCGCACGCUCUCUCUCUCUCUCUCUCCCUCUCGCCGGCGCCGUGAAGGGGUGGUGCUGACCAGAUCUCAACCUUCUCAAUCCUCGUUUCCAGAUCCAGAUCCAGAUCUAAAACUAAGGUGGAGUGUUUCGAACCCAACCUUCUUUCAUGGUUCUGUAUACUCCUCUAUGUUGGAGUUAGGCUUGAUUAGACCCUGAUUGGGAGUUAGGUUGAUAGGACAUGGUAUUGCUAGGAUGAUAGAUGAAUGAAUCAUGAUGCAUAAGAACCCUCAUACUGAUAAAUGGGACUUGAUGAACUGAAUUGAAUUGUCGUGGUAAUGAUUGAUUGGUAGUUGAUACUUGUAUGUUUGGUUGUGUUGUCCCAUGUGUUGUUGUGAUUGAAGUUAGGAUGCUAGAGAGGAACAAAUGCUAGGAUGAUAGAUGAGCAAUGAUUAUAAACGUUAUUGAAGUAGAACUUGAAUGCGAUGUGUAUUGUGUGUGACACCGAUAACGGGUGGCGUCUAGUGAUUUAGUCCAAGUUCAAGUAUGAAUGAAAAGGGAAAGUAAUUGGGAAUGGGGAGGAUUAAGUGAAAACGAUAAGGAAGUGAAAUGAUAAGUAAAAGUAUGAAAGAAGGAUGUUAAGGUUAAGCAUGGGUGGGAAAGCAUAUAGAGAGUCUAAGGUUUGUAGGUGGGGUAAGUAGUCCACGCUAGGUAUCCAUAGGAGAUGUGGCGAAUCCACAUGAAUAUGGAAGCACCCAUAGGAGAUGUGGCGAAUCCACAUGAAUAUGGGGUAGAAGCCUAGUGGGGGGCUACCCACUGAGGAAAAGAGGAAAAGAGGAAAAGAGGAAAAGAUGAAAAGUUGAAAAGGAUGUGCAUUGUAGGGUUUUAGCUCAUGGUCGGGUAACGGGGAGUUAAAGGUGUCAUAGGGUCGGGUCGGACGGACAAGAGGAGUCGGUUAAGUCUAGGGUUUGACGUGUGUGGCAAUGAGUGAGAUCAUUGUAUUGAUUGAUCGCUAGGUUGUUAGAAAUGAAUGGAAGUGAUUGUGGAAAUUGCAGAUAACAUUAGGAAUGAUGAAAAUGCAUUAACUGAUUGUAGUGGCUAGUCAGUCCUAGUUCCCGCAUGGAGUAGUAUAGAGUGUCAUGCGGGCAGGCUGGUCUAGAACCACUUCACUGAGUAACUUGUUGCUCACCCCUCCAUUUCCAUUUUUCCUGUGCGCAGGACUGUAAGUAGAAGUAUAUGGAUGUGGGUAUGACGGUAUUUCAAAGAAGGUUAUGCGCUCGUCUCUCGGGACCAGUAACGGGACACGUAGGGUUGUCUAGAUGAGUAGACACGUGUCCAUAACGCCCCUUCGAUAACCCCGGUCGGACUCCGGGGGAUCGGGCUGUUACA